UACGAAGGGUGCAAGCGUUACUCGGAAUUACUGGGCGUAAAGGGUGCGUAGGUGGUUGUUUAAGUCUGCUGUGAAAGCCCCGGGCUCAACCUGGGAAUGGCAGUGGAUACUGGACAGCUAGAGUGCGGUAGAGGGUAGUGGAAUUCCCGGUGUAGCAGUGAAAUGCGUAGAGAUCGGGAGGAACACCGGUGGCGAAGGCGGGUCUCUGGGCCGAUACUGACGCUGAGGAGCGAAAGCGUGGGGAGCGAACAGG
RNAcentral lists this ribosomal RNA (253 nucleotides) under uncultured bacterium. RNAcentral describes it as "partial 16S ribosomal RNA". It matches the Rfam family "Bacterial small subunit ribosomal RNA", at positions 524 to 776 of the family's 1533-position model. The record is from RNAcentral.